Molecule: ribosomal RNA, 492 nt
Filed under: uncultured bacterium
Lineage: Bacteria
Description: partial 16S ribosomal RNA
Rfam family: Bacterial small subunit ribosomal RNA
Source: RNAcentral
AGUGAACGCUGGCGGUAGGCCUAACACAUGCAAGUCGAACGGCAGCACAGUAAGAGCUUGCUCUUACGGGUGGCGAGUGGCGGACGGGUGAGGAAUACAUCGGAAUCUACUUUUUCGUGGGGGAUAACGUAGGGAAACUUACGCUAAUACCGCAUACGACCUACGGGUGAAAGCAGGUGAUCUUCUGACCUUGCGCGAUUGAAUGAGCCGAUGUCGGAUUAGCUAGUUGGCGGGGUAAAGGCCCACCAAGGCGACGAUCCGUAGCUGGUCUGAGAGGAUGAUCAGCCACACUGGAACUGAGAAACGGUCCAGACUCCUACGGGAGGAAGCAGUGGGGAAUAUUGGACAAUGGGCGCAAGCCUGAUCCAGCCAUACCGCGUGGGUGAAGAAGGACUUCGGGUUGUAAAGCCCUUUUGUUGGGAAAGAAAAGCAGCAGGUUAAUACCCCGCUGUUCUGACGGUACCCAAAGAAUAAGCACCGGCUAACUUCGUG